CAGAUGUGUAUGGAUCAUCUUACAGACGCUCAAUUGUUAACUCAUUCACGAGUGGAUCAGUGGUUGUCGACACGACGCUUGUGUUCAAUGAUGACAGCUCAGUUCCCUCAGUAAGCAAUGCAACUACAGAACUCCGCAGUGUAUUUACGAGCAGCUCUACCUCCCUGAACAUUAUAUCAGGCACUGUUAAUGCAACCUCUUCUUCUUCUGCUGCUUCCACCGCUGCAACAACUACAACUACAGCAACUGCUACAACCACAGAAACCACCACCAC
Molecule: long non-coding RNA, 274 nt
Organism: Sebastes umbrosus (honeycomb rockfish)
Lineage: Eukaryota; Metazoa; Chordata; Actinopteri; Perciformes; Sebastidae
Exons: 3
Source: RefSeq, a predicted model, not a curated record